Molecule: microRNA, 23 nt
Filed under: Lottia gigantea (owl limpet)
Lineage: Eukaryota; Metazoa; Mollusca; Gastropoda; Lottiidae
Description: Lgi-Novel-2_5p* (star (passenger))
Source: RNAcentral
CUUGCCAAUGUCUUGUUUUCUGA